This 74-nucleotide transfer RNA is filed under the name cyanobacterium TDX16. RNAcentral describes it as "tRNA-Ile". It matches the Rfam family "tRNA". Rfam says of the family: Transfer RNA (tRNA) molecules are approximately 80 nucleotides in length. Their secondary structure includes four short double-helical elements and three loops (D, anti-codon, and T loops). RNAcentral also lists the same sequence under 4 other names. The record is from RNAcentral. Lineage: Bacteria; Bacillati; Cyanobacteriota.
GGGCUCGUAGCUCAGUUGGUUAGAGCGCGUCCCUGAUAAGGACGAGGCCAGUGGUUCGAGUCCACUCGGGCCCA